GUUCUGCUACGGCGUUGGUGACUGCCAACAAUGUUUUCUGAUCUAUGUUUUUCAUUUCGCGGGUAUCAAGAUGCUGAAGCAGCAGUAAACCAGGCUUGUCCUAAUCAUGGAUUUGUACCUGGAAACUAUAAGCUCCGGCCGCGAUUCCCACCUGGUAACCCCAGGUCAAAAACUGAGGUAAGACGGCGCUGCGGUUGAACU
This 201-nucleotide non-coding RNA is filed under the name Phormidesmis sp. RL_2_1. RNAcentral describes it as "6S RNA". It matches the Rfam family "6S / SsrS RNA". From Rfam's summary of the family: E. coli 6S RNA was the first non coding RNA to be sequenced, but its function was unknown until recently. It consists of 184 nucleotides that fold into an extended hairpin structure with a large single-stranded internal bulge. The record is from RNAcentral. Lineage: Bacteria; Bacillati; Cyanobacteriota; Cyanophyceae; Leptolyngbyales; Leptolyngbyaceae.